CUCCAAGAAUAAGUGGCUAUAGAUUUAUUUAUUUCCUUGAGCAGUGUUUAACCACAAAAAAAAUUUCAUGCCAAUUCUUCUGCUUAUAAAUAGCAUUUAUAUCACCACCAUGGACAUUAUGUUCAAGAAAACAAAUAUGUGGGGUUUUUUUCUUGCUCAGAGAGUAGGAAUAGAUGCAUGGAUUUGUGUGUUCGUGAGGCUUUUGUGUGUUGCAAUGACAAAGAAAUUAUUCUUGUAUCCACCUGAAAAAAAAUAUUCUUAAAUGAAAUUCCACACAUUCAGUCUUAAUGCUAAAGUAUUAAGGCUAAACUCACAGUUUAUUGAGUGCUCUUAGAGAUUUCUUCUAUAGAUGUAAGGAGAAGUUAUUUUAGCAUUCAGAAAGAGCAGUAUGUACUAAAGUGGGAAAGAGAUGGGUUUGCUAUGGCUAUUACUUGAACACAUUUUCUGAUUAAUUCAUUAAUGCGUCAUUCCUCAAAAAUGAAAUGACACUUCACUGCAGUAGUCUGACAAAAUCCUGAUAAUACUUUAAUCUACAAUAUUUUCAGAAAACUGCUCAAGGUUUUCAGCCAAACUGUUUACCCGAUGGAGUUAUCUUUAAAAAAAAAUUGCGCUAAGUCUACCUCAUAGCACAUGUCAUGCAGAAAAAAAUUCAAUAUUUUGGUCAAUAACUUGGCAGAAGAUAAAAAUGUAUGAUCUUCUACACCAGGUCAGUUCAAAUCCAGUCUCCUGUGUGAAACCUUCCCACACAGGAAGUGAAAGGAAAGUUUAUACGAAGAAGGCAGGUGUAGUGAAAUUUUCUCUAGUUAAUAGUACUUAAAACUUUACCAGUUUUGGAACCAAGAAAAAUAUUUUUUUAUAUAGUCUAUUAAAGAGAACCAAAAUCAUAAGAGAGACAAAGACAGUAGGAUGAUACAUUUGUUCUUUAAGAUGUUGAGUUCUGUUGGUGCCAUGGUUUGCCCUGAAACACAGUGGUGAUCCACUUGCCAGGGGACUUUUUAUUGUUUUUUGGUUUUUUGUUCAGACUGUUUAGUUUGCACUGAUCAGAUGAGCACAGAGAAUUGUGCUUCUAUCAAUCCAAAUAAAAUCCCAUGCCACAAAAAGCUGUUGAGAAUUAUUUUUAUCCACCCCUAUCCUACCUCUCUACCUCUGUGUCUGAGAUCAUUAUCUGGUGUACUGCAGUGCUGGUGUGCUAUCGCUCUGGAGAUUCUCAAGGAAGAGUGAAAUCCCUGAGGAGAAAGAUAAUGGUCACCAUAACUGCAAUGUUUAUGGCUGUUUCUAAGAUUCAGUAGCAUCAGAUGGCUGUGAGUGAGGUGAUUUUAAGAACAAAAAGAUAACCUUCUUACAAAUAACCAGGUAAAUAACCCAACUUUUACUGCAGUAAACUGAAAAAUCCUACCUAGAACGUUGGAAUGAGCAGUGCUUGGGACGAGUCUUUUGGCAAGUGUUUGUGACUCAGAACUUAGAGAGGGUGGCACCAUCAUAAUGCAAGAAGUGAAAGGAUAAAGCAAAGAAGAUCUGGUUGGCUCAGCUUCCCAUGCAACUCCAAGAAGAUUCAAGCCUCUUUUAGCUCACCAGAGACAAAGGCAUACAUGCAAAGUUUUCAAAAGACCGUAGAUUACAGUGAAAGCUGGAUGCUACCAGCACUAGGUACUUCUCUUCUUCUCCAGUUAAGUAAAACUCGGGUUAUGAUAUGCUUUCAAUAUUAUGUCAAUAUUGUCACUAUGCUAAAUUCUUGUGUGAGCCAGACUUUGCAGAUGUGCUCCACAAGGUCAUUUAUCGUGGCUUGUGCUGGGUUGCAGGCCCAAAAUAUAUCUGUUGUGCUUGACACAGGAAAAACCAUUGUCACUUCAAAGCAGAUCUCAUUUCUGACAGCAAGAUGAAGCCAGUUAUUUCAGUAACACAACUUCCAGAUCUCAGAUCUCAUGAUUUCUCAAAAAAUUUAGUUGAGUCAAUUUUUGUCUUUUACACUGUACACUAAAAAUCUGCUAUUUGGAAGACUCUUCCCACACCAGCUGUCUCUGCCAUAUCACUGCAGCACUGGCUGUGGUAGGCAGGCUGGGAUAGGAAAGGGAUGUCAAAUGGAGAGGAGACAGAUAUGCACAUAGAAGAACUGUACUUAUCAGUGAUAUCUGGCAAUUAAAGGUAUCCUAAUUCACACCCAAUGAUUACAGGAAUAUGGAUGUUUCUACCAUAUUUCCCUGAGAUGAGUGUAUGCUUUGGAAUUUUUGGUAAGAAAGAAAGGUAGCAGCAAUAAAAUUAGCACACAAACACCAUCUGUGAAAGCCAAAAAGCAUCUAUAGAUCCUCUGCAUGCUAGAGGCUAUGAGGAGGGAUAGAAAAAACCCAGAAAGAAGAAGGAGACAGGGAAAUACAGAGCAUGGCUGCCCCCCACCUCCCCCCUCAAAAAAAAAAAGCAUGAUAAAGCUAAGAAGUAAAUAUGAAUUAAUAACUACUGUACAGACCAUUCUAACACUGAUAGGUUACUGCCAUACAAAUCAUAGGCAUUUUCCACAUGUUGUACAGAUCAAAUGAAUUAUUGCCAAUUAACACAAAGCAUUACCCUGAGGCACUAUCCAGGCAUAUGUAAAAACUUUAUCUAUCCUGAAGACACAAUUUAAAUGGAAAGCCUCCUUGGUUAUUGGUAAUAAGGCUGCACUCAAAACAAGGAGGGAAUAUGCCGUGAGUCAGGAGAAUGUUGUUGGAAAUCUGUAAAACACAUCUAUUGCCUACAGAAAUGAGCAACUAAAAAACCCCUCCAGCUCAUGCUACUUGCUCUGUACCAGUGUUUAAGUCAGUUCUCUGGAUUCCUCUGACUGCUCAAUAAACAUCACUUAACAUUUCUAUUUUCUUCCCACUGUUCUCUAGUCCAGGUACACACAAGCUGGCAACACUUGUGUUUACAUGGGACUACAAAGGUGGGGUCAUCUCAGGCCCUAAAGUGAAACAUUGAUAGUCCCAGCCAUAAGAUUCCACCAUUUCACCCAACUGCAAUGACUUCAGCUUUCUUGGACUUAUCUCUUCUCUUCCCAGGGUCACUCACUUUUCCUCCUGUGCUCUGCAAUAUCAGUAAAGAACAUUAUAUGACAAGGUCAUCUCUGGUGCUGUUGGUUACAAAGUACUCAGUGGAGAUGGUCAUUGAGGAGGCUUUGUUAAGCAUGUACUUGUUCCCACAACCUGAAAACUUCUCCCUUUUUUUUUUUUUUCCAUUACCCUCCACUCUGCUGGUUUAUAUUUAAUAUAUCCUCUAAAGACCUCUCAGGGUGUAAUUUGAUUGCUGCUAGGGAAAAAAAAAUUGCCCAUGAAUGGAAAAUUCUACUUUCUGCUCUUUCCAGUAGACAGUAGCAGAGAAUAUUCAUCUCUGGAGACUUCUUUUUAUUUAUUGAUGGAAGAAGGUAUCCAUCUCAGUUCACCAUUUCCAUGCCUGUACCUUCACCUUUUUUUCAUUUUGAGCACUUCAUAUCCAUGCUGUUAACUGUGGAUCACAAUCUUAUAUGGUUUUAUCCCUGUAAUGCCCUGAUGAAUUGGGAAAUGUCACUGUACUGACUUUAUAGGCAACACAUUAAGCAUCAAUACAUUGUGAGCUCAGGCUUAUGAAAAAGCCAUUCAUCAUAAAUGUGCCAAUUCUCUAUAGGCAUAGGCAAAGUUUGUCCCAAAUGGAGUAUAACUCAGAUAUAUCUGGCUUUUCCUGGGAUGGUUCUGUGACACACUUAAAAAUAUUGGAAAGAAAUGACAUGUUACCUUCUUUUACUAUAUACUAAGUUAAUGUUAAAUAUCUAGCCAUUGCUGUUGACUUAAUUGUUUUAAUGCAAAUGAUGAUUUACCUUGAUUUUUUUACUAAUUAUCCCAAAUUUAUAAUGAAAAAUGUAGCAAAAAAAGAAAUGGAAUCUUAUUUAUUUUUCUUUUAUCUUAGGCUGACUGAUGGAAUAUCCUUACCUUCAUUUCUUUCAGUAUUUUUGGAUGUGAUGCUUGAUUUAAUAUAACAUCUCUCAUGCUUAAGUAUCUCAGAGAGAGUUUAAGAAAAAAAAUGACACCACAUCUGCUGUAGUGUAGUUCAGGGUAUGUAGGACUGAAAGGGCAGAGAGGAAAGCAUGUUUCCAAAGGACAGCAUGGGAAAAAAGAGGGAUGCAUUAUCUAUCAUUUUUAUUUCAAAAUCUUGUGUUUCAGAACCAUGAAGUGCAGCAAAUUACACAUAAACUCAGCUAUUAGUGUUGAUAGGAGAGAUUCUGUUGUGACAACGGUGGAGUAAAUAGCAUAGGUAUAUUCUUGAAUAUAAAAUUUGAUAUGUAGUAAAUGCCUGUUUAGGAACAAACCUAACGUCAUUACAGAUUUUGGAAAUAUUGCUUGACAUGUUUGGCAAUGCACUGUCAAGAUGAAUUAGGUCCCACUUUUACUCUCAGAAUGAGAGUUGUUGCAAACAAUGAGAAAAAACUGUCCUGCUCUGUUACGGACUGCAGCCCGCUGUCUGUGCCUCAAGGGUGGCAAAUGAAUGGGCCAGGCAUAAAGCAGUGUGUAAUGUCAAAGGUAAACUGACACUCUGAGCAACACAAUUAAAAAGGAUUGUUUAUUAUUGGUCUGAAACACCACAAUAGAAAUCGUUCCCUCUUGGCUAGGCUUUGGACUCUCCACCCCGAGUAACCUCUCAGCACACAACUGUGCCAUGCCUGCAUCUAUUUCUAGUCAGCUUUAUAUUUUCUAAAGUAUCAGUUUGGGUCUACAACUUUACAGUCUUUAUUAUGUUUAACACCAUAGUAUCUCAAAAAAAAAAAAAAGAAAAGUGGAAGUAAUUUUGACCCUGGGACAGGAAGAUAAAGAGUGAGAUUCCAGAAAAAACAUGAAUAUUGUGAUACGAAGUAAAAUAAAGCACACAAUAAGCAACUGCAUAACCUAAAUUUAAAAACUAUUCUUUAGAUUUAAAGAAAAAGCAAACAAAAAAUCAAACCCAGAAAUUAAAUACCCCAGAACAAAACAAACAAAUAAAAAGCAAGAAAAAACCUAAGGGAAAAUUUAGGGACUCAUCCCUCUCCACACAGCAGAUGAGAAAGGUU
Long non-coding RNA from Parus major (Great Tit), 5044 nucleotides. RefSeq lists it as uncharacterized. The record is from RefSeq and is a predicted model, not a curated record. NCBI's taxonomy places the organism in Eukaryota, Metazoa, Chordata, Aves, Passeriformes, Paridae. The transcript is spliced from 3 exons.